This 325-nucleotide ribosomal RNA is filed under the name Thaumatomonas sp. RNAcentral's name for it is "SSU rRNA". The stretch from base 84 to 325 matches the Rfam family "Eukaryotic small subunit ribosomal RNA", at positions 712 to 955 of the family's 1831-position model. The record is from RNAcentral. Lineage: Eukaryota; Cercozoa; Imbricatea; Thaumatomonadida; Thaumatomastigidae. RNAcentral also lists the same sequence under 2 other names.
GAUUUCUGGUUCGAUGCGUUUGGCCCUCUCGGAGCAAUCCGGCGUGCGUGCCGAUGCGCGUCUGCCAUCCCUUGUAGAGAACGUUUCUACCCUUCACUGGGCCGGAUUCGCAAUCUACAUCUUUUACUUUGAAAAAAUUAGAGUGUUUAAAGCAGGCUUGUGCUAUGAAUACAUUAGCAUGGAAUAAUAAUUUAGGACUUUGGUUCUAUUUUGUUGGUUUCUAGGACUGAAGUAAUGAUUGAUAGGGAUAGUUGGGGGUGCUAGUAUUCAGCGGCCAGAGGUGAAAUUCUUGGAUUCGCUGAAGACUAACUUAUGCGAAAGCAUU